AUACGGAGGGUGCAAGCGUUAAUCGGAAUUACUGGGCGUAAAGGGUACGUAGGCGGUUAAAUAAGUUGGAUGUGAAAGCCCCGGGCUCAACCUGGGAACUGCAUUCAAAACUGUUUGACUAGAGUGUAUGAGAGGUUGGCGGAAUUCCAGGUGUAGCAGUGAAAUGCGUAGAUAUCUGGAGGAACAUCAGUGGUGAAGGCGGCCAACUGGCAUAACACUGACGCUGAGGUACGAAAGCGUGGGGAGCGAACGGGAUUAGAAACCCUGGUAGUCC
RNAcentral lists this ribosomal RNA (274 nucleotides) under uncultured bacterium. RNAcentral's name for it is "partial 16S ribosomal RNA". It matches the Rfam family "Bacterial small subunit ribosomal RNA", at positions 523 to 796 of the family's 1533-position model. The record is from RNAcentral.